Molecule: ribosomal RNA, 199 nt
Filed under: uncultured bacterium
Lineage: Bacteria
Description: partial 16S ribosomal RNA
Rfam family: Bacterial small subunit ribosomal RNA
Source: RNAcentral
GCAGGCUGCAACUCGCCUGCAUGAAGUCGGAAUUGCUAGUAAUCGCGGAUCAGCAUGCCGCGGUGAAUACGUUCCCGGGCCUUGUACACACCGCCCGUCACACCAUGGGAGUCGGUAACACCCGAAGCCGAUAGUCUAACGAGAGAGGACGUCGUCGAAGGUGGGAUUGAUGACUGGGGUGAAGUCGUAACAAGGUAAC